This 670-nucleotide long non-coding RNA is filed under the name Equus caballus (horse). RNAcentral describes it as "lncRNA (ENSECAG00000056432.1)". The record is from RNAcentral. Lineage: Eukaryota; Metazoa; Chordata; Mammalia; Perissodactyla; Equidae.
AAUAAGAAUAUAAUGCGAGAAGUCCAAUAAGCAGGGGGCGGAAAUGGAGAACCUGCUGCUCCAGCUGUCCGCGUGGGCCUCAUUGACGAGAAGGCUUGAAAAGAAGGACACGGUAGCCAAGCCAUCUGUAUUUUCCUUGCCUCAGGGAUUUUUCCAGAGCAGAAAACAGAAGCAGCCUGAAGUCACUGGCUCUUCAGUCUUGUAGGGAUGUGGCAUUUCGGCCGCCAUCUGGAGGCCCCGAGAAGAAAGACAGAGAUCCUGACCCAGAAUUAGAACCAUCGUGAGCUGCGGAGCAAAGCCUGCAGUUGCCUCCCGUCUCUGCUCGUGUGCACUCAUGUCCAUCCUCUGCCCCUCUGUACUCUGCUGGCCUCCAGCAGACGGACCCUUAGGGGUGAGACUGCACGACAGCUUCCCGGGCCCUUGGCUUCCUGUUGGUGUCAGCGAAGGGGAGGCCCCAGAAGGAGCAGGGCCCAGAGAGGGGAGGAGAGAGGAGUCAGGUAUCUGUUCUCCGGGUUCCUUCCCUGAGAGGCUGCUGUGGAUUGGCUGCCUCCCUUGACAGAGGCCGCAGUUCCCUUCAGGUGGCCCUCCCUUUCUGAGUUCCAUAACUGCUCCGCCUCGUCCCUUCAGCUCUAGGUGUGUCCCCAUUGUUGCCAGGACCCUAGCACCUCAC